Molecule: non-coding RNA, 1976 nt
Organism: Aegilops tauschii subsp. strangulata
Lineage: Eukaryota; Viridiplantae; Streptophyta; Magnoliopsida; Poales; Poaceae
Source: RefSeq, a predicted model, not a curated record
UUGCUGCGUCAGAGCCCACACUCGCACCAACCCUAGCCGCCACACCUCUCCUUCCUCCCUCGCUCGACAGCGUCGCACCCCUCCCUCCUUCCUGCUCGUCCGGAUAGCCGCCGACCACCGCAUCCCUUCUCCCCUUUCCUCCUCCAUCCUCCUUCCCACUGGCGCCCCUCGCGCUCGUCCUCGGAAGGGGGGCCUCCCGCAUGGAUGAUCGGGUCUUCAAACUGGGGUUAGAGGAGCAGGGGAGGGCCAAGAAGCCAGCGGUGGGGGUAGAGGAGUAGGGGAGGGCCAAGAAAGCUGACCGGGAGCACACCACCAUAGGCGUCAAGGGAGCCGUGGACAAGCCGCCAGGAGGAGAAAGCUCCCAGUUUGAGGAGGAGACUACGUCACAGAAGCUGGGAAGCAUGAUGCUCGAUUAGUGGGCCGCCGCUUGAGAAGAAGCUUGUCAUAUGUCUCUUCAAGCCGCGGCGACUAGGGGCCUUCGAAGAACACGGGGUUUGACAUAGCCAUCGAGGAAGUGCAGGAUACAAACCAUAUGUAAUCAAAGAGGAUAUGGAUUCGGUACGACCAUGAGUGAAGGAAUGUUGUUCCAAUUUGGAGCUUGGAGAAUGUUUUCUCACUGUGGUUCAGGUUAAACUGUUGUUCUACUAUUCCUGCUCAUCCUCCUAAUGUUCUAUUUCUUCGAUGCACCUUCUUCCAGCUUCUCUACUGGUUUUCUCUUCACACUGAUGUAAGUACAUGUUCCUCCCUUCGUCCAAAUCUUCUCCGACCAUGGUCGUUUGCAUCUGGUCAUAGUUGUUUGCAUGUUUCACCCCUGUUGGUGGUUCACGCGUCGGCCUCGGUGCUUUGAGCAGACCAACAUUUCUCAUCUUGGUGAUUGUAUUAUUGGGGCUUUGCUACAUGUGUAGGUUUGAAUCGAUGGCUAGAAAUACAUAGUGCCAUUUUGUCUUAUGGAGUGAUAAUUAAGCAGACACACAUAGCCGCAAAAGGGAUUGCUCAAAUGAAAUAAGUUGCUAAUUUUGUAUCUUUGACACUCAUGGAAAAGGUGCAUGCCAAUCCUAAUUAUAACCGUAUCACAUAUAUGGAACUGCAUUAGACGAAUGGUGUUAUCAGGAUGACAAAUUUCAGUCACAGAACUGAACGUUCCUUUUCUUGGUGUAUAUUUGUCAUAUACAGAAUUCAGAAAAAUUGUUGGAUAUUACAAUUCAUAUAUUCACUAUUUAGAAUCGAGAUAUCCAAUCAUGUUAGGAUAUGAUAUGGUCUUUAUCCAGGGGUUCUAAGUAUUAUGAAUGUGCAUGUCCUGAUACAUGUAAUUAUAAGGUAGUUACAAGCUAGCUGGACAUGUGUGUCAAAGUGCUUGCAUUUCAGUUUAUGUAGGAAGAGGAGCAUCAAUACCUAGUUCUCCCGCCUUGUAUAUGUAACGUCUUCCUUCCAAGCAAUUAGUAUAUGGAAUUAGAGAUUCUUAUAUCCAUAUUUUUUGGAACUUCGUGGAUUCCUACCAUCUCUAUAUAAUUACAACAAAACCAAUAGGUUAGAGUGGCGUGUCCCUUAGUGCGACCGAUUGGGUACAGAUGAAGCCUCUCAUCCCACAUGCUCAUUGUUUCUACCUCAAACCAAUCCCGUGGCCUCCUUUUAAAUUAUUGAUACAUGUGUUGCUUCAUUUAUUUAUUUUGAGAUCACAUAUUAUCCAAUUCCUUAUUAUUAUUGUUAAAGAAAUAGCCUAACAUUAUACAUGGAUUGACACUGAAUAUGUAAAUCAGGUAGCAUACUUACAUUAAUGCGUUCAAACAAUUUUAUUCAUCACCUGAUAGAAGGAAUAAUGGUGACAUUUCAAUACAUUUUUUCAGUCAUGUAUGCAGUGUUGGCAAAGAGCCUGCUGAUACGUCCAUUUUGCAUCAUGUUUUCCUACUAUUAUUUAUAAUGGUUUUAUGCAUAAUAAUGCUUUAUGAAGUAAUUCUAAUGCCCUUUCUCUCAUAAUA